CUCUGGCGAGUCGUUGCUUUGGCGGGACGUGGACGUGUCUACUGCUGCUCCCGCUUUUCGCGCUCUCUCGUUUCAUUUUCGGCAGUGCGCCAGCAGGAUGGCCCACAAGCAGAUCUACUACUCGGACAAGUACUUCGACGAACACUACGAAUACCGGCAUGUUAUGUUACCCAGAGAACUUUCCAAACAAGUACCUAAAACUCAUCUGAUGUCUGAAGAGGAGUGGAGGAGACUUGGUGUCCAACAGAGUCUAGGCUGGGUUCAUUACAUGAUUCAUGAGCCAGAACCACAUAUUCUUCUCUUUAGACGACCUCUUCCAAAAGAUCAACAAAAAUGAAGUUUAUCUGGGGAUCAUCACAUCUUUUCCAAAUUUAAUGUAUAUGUGUAUAUAAGGUAGUAUUCAGUGAAUACUUGAGAAAUGUACAAAUCUUUCAUCCAUACCUGUGCAUGAGCUGUAUUCUUCACAGCAACAGAGCUCAGUUAAAUGCAACUGCAAGUAGGUUACUGUAAGAUGUUUAAGAUAAAAGUUCUUCCAGUUUUUCUCUUAAGUGCCUGUUUGACUUUACCUGUUACUUUUGUUCAAUAAAGUUUGUAUGUUGCCCUGUCUCCACAAAAACACAAAAAUUAAC
Mandrillus leucophaeus (drill) is the source of this 629-nucleotide RNA transcript. It is a transcript of the gene named CDC28 protein kinase regulatory subunit 2, with no coding region annotated. The record is from RefSeq and is a predicted model, not a curated record. NCBI's taxonomy places the organism in Eukaryota, Metazoa, Chordata, Mammalia, Primates, Cercopithecidae. The transcript is spliced from 4 exons.